RNAcentral lists this ribosomal RNA (1011 nucleotides) under Lactobacillus acidophilus. RNAcentral's name for it is "bacterial SSU rRNA". It matches the Rfam family "Bacterial small subunit ribosomal RNA", at positions 246 to 1250 of the family's 1533-position model. The record is from RNAcentral. Lineage: Bacteria; Bacillati; Bacillota; Bacilli; Lactobacillales; Lactobacillaceae.
UAGUUGGUAGGGUAACGGCCUACCAAGGCAAUGAUGCAUAGCCGAGUUGAGAGACUGAUCGGCCACAUUGGGACUGAGACACGGCCCAAACUCCUACGGGAGGCAGCAGUAGGGAAUCUUCCACAAUGGACGAAAGUCUGAUGGAGCAACGCCGCGUGAGUGAAGAAGGUUUUCGGAUCGUAAAGCUCUGUUGUUGGUGAAGAAGGAUAGAGGUAGUAACUGGCCUUUAUUUGACGGUAAUCAACCAGAAAGUCACGGCUAACUACGUGCCAGCAGCCGCGGUAAUACGUAGGUGGCAAGCGUUGUCCGGAUUUAUUGGGCGUAAAGCGAGCGCAGGCGGAAGAAUAAGUCUGAUGUGAAAGCCCUCGGCUUAACCGAGGAACUGCAUCGGAAACUGUUUUUCUUGAGUGCAGAAGAGGAGAGUGGAACUCCAUGUGUAGCGGUGGAAUGCGUAGAUAUAUGGAAGAACACCAGUGGCGAAGGCGGCUCUCUGGUCUGCAACUGACGCUGAGGCUCGAAAGCAUGGGUAGCGAACAGGAUUAGAUACCCUGGUAGUCCAUGCCGUAAACGAUGAGUGCUAAGUGUUGGGAGGUUUCCGCCUCUCAGUGCUGCAGCUAACGCAUUAAGCACUCCGCCUGGGGAGUACGACCGCAAGGUUGAAACUCAAAGGAAUUGACGGGGGCCCGCACAAGCGGUGGAGCAUGUGGUUUAAUUCGAAGCAACGCGAAGAACCUUACCAGGUCUUGACAUCUAGUGCAAUCCGUAGAGAUACGGAGUUCCCUUCGGGGACACUAAGACAGGUGGUGCAUGGCUGUCGUCAGCUCGUGUCGUGAGAUGUUGGGUUAAGUCCCGCAACGAGCGCAACCCUUGUCAUUAGUUGCCAGCAUUAAGUUGGGCACUCUAAUGAGACUGCCGGUGACAAACCGGAGGAAGGUGGGGAUGACGUCAAGUCAUCAUGCCCCUUAUGACCUGGGCUACACACGUGCUACAAUGGACAGUACAACGAGGAGC